RNAcentral lists this ribosomal RNA (156 nucleotides) under Ornithopus pinnatus (orange birdsfoot). RNAcentral's name for it is "5.8S ribosomal RNA". It matches the Rfam family "5.8S ribosomal RNA". Rfam says of the family: 5.8S ribosomal RNA (5.8S rRNA) is a component of the large subunit of the eukaryotic ribosome. The record is from RNAcentral. Lineage: Eukaryota; Viridiplantae; Streptophyta; Magnoliopsida; Fabales; Fabaceae.
GACUCUCGGCAACGGAUAUCUCGGCUCUCGCAUCGAUGAAGAACGUAGCGAAAUGCGAUACUUGGUGUGAAUUGCAGAAUCCCGUGAACCAUCGAGUCUUUGAACGCAAGUUGCGCCCGAUGCCAUUAGGUUGAGGGCACGUCUGCCUGGGUGUCA